GAUGAAGAACGCAGCGAAAUGCGAUACGUAAUGUGAAUUGCAGAAUUCAGUGAAUCAUCGAAUCUUUGAACGCAUAUUGCGCUCUCUGGUAUUCCGGAGAGCAUGCUUGAUUGAGUAUCAGUAAACACCUCAACUCCCUUUUCUUUUUUGAAAUUGGAGUUGGACUUGAGUGAUCCCAACGCUUUCUUCCAAGAAAGUGGCGGGUUGCUUGAAAUGCAGGUGCAGCUGAACUUUUCUCUGAGCUAUAAGCAUAUCUAUUUAGUCUGCCUAAAAAAUAGAUUAUUACCUUUGCUGCAGCUAACGUAAAGGAGACUAGUUCUUGUGCUGACUGAUGCAGGAUUCUCAGAGACAGCUUCGGCUGACUUUGUAAACUCGAUCUCAAAUCAAGUAAGACUACCCGCUGAACUUAAGCAUAUCAAUAAGCGGAGGA
Molecule: unclassified non-coding RNA, 430 nt
Filed under: soil metagenome
Description: partial contains 5.8S ribosomal RNA, internal transcribed spacer 2, and large subunit ribosomal RNA
Rfam family: 5.8S ribosomal RNA (bases 1-120)
Source: RNAcentral